UACGUAGGGGGCUAGCGUUAUCCGGAAUUACUGGGCGUAAAGGGUGCGUAGGUGGUUUCUUAAGUCAGAGGUGAAAGGCUACGGCUCAACCGUAGUAAGCCUUUGAAACUGAGAAACUUGAGUGCAGGAGAGGAGAGUAGAAUUCCUAGUGUAGCGGUGAAAUGCGUAGAUAUUAGGAGGAACACCAGUUGCGAAGGCGGCUCUCUGGACUGUAACUGACGCUGAGGCACGAAAGCGUGGGGAGCAAACAGGAUUAGAUACCCUGGUAGUCCCUGA
Molecule: ribosomal RNA, 276 nt
Filed under: uncultured prokaryote
Description: partial 16S ribosomal RNA
Rfam family: Bacterial small subunit ribosomal RNA
Source: RNAcentral